UCUUCAUUCGUUUCCUGCAGCACGCACACUUCUGCUCACACAACCCAGGAGGAACAAAGAGAGCAGUCAGAAAAAGGGAAAAACAGAAUGACUUUACAAGGGAAAGGACAAGGGGAGGAUGUCCACUAUCAAGGGCAGCAGAGACACAUGCUAGAGCCAAAAUAUGCAGAAAGGGAAAUUACACAAAUUUCCCUUUGAUACUUUAGUGCCAUCAUGACAUCAUGGGGCUUUUCUCAUUUCAUUUAUGUGACUUACAUCAAUGAACAGGUCAGCUAUUAUGCUUACACAAGCUAACAAGCACAA
Molecule: long non-coding RNA, 303 nt
Organism: Poecilia latipinna (sailfin molly)
Lineage: Eukaryota; Metazoa; Chordata; Actinopteri; Cyprinodontiformes; Poeciliidae
Exons: 3
Source: RefSeq, a predicted model, not a curated record